AUUGAACGCUGGCGGCAUGCUUUACACAUGCAAGUCGAACGGUAACAGGGAGCUUGCUCCGCUGACGAGUGGCGAACGGGUGAGUAAUGCAUCGGAACGUACCGUGUAAUGGGGGAUAACGUAGCGAAAGUUACGCUAAUACCGCAUACGCCCUGAGGGGGAAAGUGGGGGACCGCAAGGCCUCACGUUAUACGAGCGGCCGAUGUCGGAUUAGCUAGUUGGUGGGGUAAAGGCCUACCAAGGCGACGAUCCGUAGCGGGUCUGAGAGGAUGAUCCGCCACACUGGGACUGAGACACGGCCCAGACUCCUACGGGAGGCAGCAGUGGGGAAUUUUGGACAAUGGGCGCAAGCCUGAUCCAGCCAUGCCGCGUGAGUGAAGAAGGCCUUCGGGUUGUAAAGCUCUUUCAGGUGGAAAGAAAUCGCACUUUUUAAUACAAGGUGUGGAUGAC
Molecule: ribosomal RNA, 450 nt
Filed under: uncultured Zoogloea sp.
Lineage: Bacteria; Pseudomonadati; Pseudomonadota; Betaproteobacteria; Rhodocyclales; Zoogloeaceae
Description: bacterial SSU rRNA
Rfam family: Bacterial small subunit ribosomal RNA
Source: RNAcentral